RNAcentral lists this ribosomal RNA (324 nucleotides) under Triticum aestivum (bread wheat). RNAcentral describes it as "partial small subunit ribosomal RNA". Lineage: Eukaryota; Viridiplantae; Streptophyta; Magnoliopsida; Poales; Poaceae. The record is from RNAcentral.
AUGGCUCUAAGGUUUGGCUUAUAUCUGGCACAAAAGGCAGGAUGCAACCAUCUGAUAAUUAACUCUGAUAAUUUGGAAGUCAUUGACACGAUGAAGAAUGGAGGACAAUUUGCGGGAACGGCGGCGACAGUUUUCAAUGACUGUUAUUUUUUGGCUUGCGACUUUCCCCUUACUAGUUUCGAACACUGUAAUAGGGAAGCAAAUAGGGUUUCCCACGAAUUAGCUAGGUUAGCUAGAGUUUCCUUGACGAAUGAGUGGUUUGAGGAGCCUAUGAACGAUAUUGUAUCUUUACUUAUAGACGAUGUGACCGUUAUUUCCAACUAA